RNAcentral lists this long non-coding RNA (510 nucleotides) under Parus major (Great Tit). RNAcentral describes it as "lncRNA (ENSPMJG00000001302.1)". The record is from RNAcentral. Lineage: Eukaryota; Metazoa; Chordata; Aves; Passeriformes; Paridae.
CUGAGGGGCAGCGGCUGAGCCGAGGCCGAGGGCGGUGCCGGGGGCGGUGCUCGGUGUCCCGGCGUUGCCGUGUCCCGGUGUCGCUCGGCGCCGCCGGGAGCCGCGGCUCCGUCCCGUCCGCCGGGAGCAGAGCGCGCAGAGAACGGCGCUGCCGCCUCGGAAACAUCUCAGGCUUUCUGCAGGCAUACCUGCCAACACCAUUUACUCCAAACUUCAACUAUUGUCUUAGGUCAGCCUACCACCCCCCUCGGAUCAACAGUCCUGCUGAAGUCGGAGGAAACAGCAAAUUUAAGCAACAGGAGGGGUUAGAUGAGAUGUCAGAAAAGUAGCCUCACCUUUAGCCUGACCUGCUGCACAACUGCAGGUUUUCCCUACACACAGGUAAGCAAGCACAUACAGGACAGAAGUUUUAGUUGCAUGUCUGCAGGUAUGCAGUCAUAUAAGAACUUUUGUUAUUUAUGCCACAUUAAACUCUUAAUUUUUUGUGUGAAACCUCCUGAUUCUCUCUGA